CCUACGGGUGGCAGCAGUGAGGAAUAUUGGACAAUGGGCGCGAGCCUGAACCAGCCAAGUAGCGUGAAGGAUGACUGCCCUACGGGUUGUAAACUUCUUUUAUAAAGGAAUAAAGUGAGGCACGUGUGCCUUUUUGUAUGGACUUUAUGAAUAAAGAUGGGUUAACUCCGUGCAAGCAGCCGCGGUAAUACGGAGGAUCCGAGCGUUAUCCGGAUUUAGUGGGGUGAAAGGGAGCGUAGAUGGGUUGUUAAGUCAGUUUUGUAAGUUUGCGGCUCAACCGUAAAAUUGCAAUUGAUACUGGCAGUCUUGAGUACAGUUGAGGUAGGCGGAAUUCGUGGUGUAGCGGUGAAAUGCUUAUAUAUCACGCAGAACUCCGAUUGCGAAGGCAGCUUACUAAACUGCCACUGACAUUGCUGCUCGAAAGUGUGGGUAUCAAACAGGAUUAGAUACCCGUGUAGUC
RNAcentral lists this ribosomal RNA (460 nucleotides) under uncultured bacterium. RNAcentral describes it as "partial 16S ribosomal RNA". It matches the Rfam family "Bacterial small subunit ribosomal RNA", at positions 338 to 795 of the family's 1533-position model. The record is from RNAcentral.